RNAcentral lists this ribosomal RNA (2787 nucleotides) under Escherichia coli. RNAcentral's name for it is "bacterial LSU rRNA". It matches the Rfam family "Bacterial large subunit ribosomal RNA". The record is from RNAcentral. Lineage: Bacteria; Pseudomonadati; Pseudomonadota; Gammaproteobacteria; Enterobacterales; Enterobacteriaceae.
AGCGUACACGGUGGAUGCCCUGGCAGUCAGAGGCGAUGAAGGACGUGCUAAUCUGCGAUAAGCGUCGGUAAGGUGAUAUGAACCGUUAUAACCGGCGAUUUCCGAAUGGGGAAACCCAGUGUGAUUCGUCACACUAUCAUUAACUGAAUCCAUAGGUUAAUGAGGCGAACCGGGGGAACUGAAACAUCUAAGUACCCCGAGGAAAAGAAAUCAACCGAGAUUCCCCCAGUAGCGGCGAGCGAACGGGGAGCAGCCCAGAGCCUGAAUCAGUGUGUGUGUUAGUGGAAGCGUCUGGAAAGGCGCGCGAUACAGGGUGACAGCCCCGUACACAAAAAUGCACAUACUGUGAGCUCGAUGAGUAGGGCGGGACACGUGGUAUCCUGUCUGAAUAUGGGGGGACCAUCCUCCAAGGCUAAAUACUCCUGACUGACCGAUAGUGAACCAGUACCGUGAGGGAAAGGCGAAAAGAACCCCGGCGAGGGGAGUGAAAAAGAACCUGAAACCGUGUACGUACAAGCAGUGGGAGCACGCUUAGGCGUGUGACUGCGUACCUUUUGUAUAAUGGGUCAGCGACUUAUAUUCUGUAGCAAGGUUAACCGAAUAGGGGAGCCGAAGGGAAACCGAGUCUUAACUGGGCGUUAAGUUGCAGGGUAUAGACCCGAAACCCGGUGAUCUAGCCAUGGGCAGGUUGAAGGUUGGGUAACACUAACUGGAGGACCGAACCGACUAAUGUUGAAAAAUUAGCGGAUGACUUGUGGCUGGGGGUGAAAGGCCAAUCAAACCGGGAGAUAGCUGGUUCUCCCCGAAAGCUAUUUAGGUAGCGCCUCGUGAAUUCAUCUCCGGGGGUAGAGCACUGUUUCGGCAAGGGGGUCAUCCCGACUUACCAACCCGAUGCAAACUGCGAAUACCGGAGAAUGUUAUCACGGGAGACACACGGCGGGUGCUAACGUCCGUCGUGAAGAGGGAAACAACCCAGACCGCCAGCUAAGGUCCCAAAGUCAUGGUUAAGUGGGAAACGAUGUGGGAAGGCCCAGACAGCCAGGAUGUUGGCUUAGAAGCAGCCAUCAUUUAAAGAAAGCGUAAUAGCUCACUGGUCGAGUCGGCCUGCGCGGAAGAUGUAACGGGGCUAAACCAUGCACCGAAGCUGCGGCAGCGACGCUUAUGCGUUGUUGGGUAGGGGAGCGUUCUGUAAGCCUGUGAAGGUGUACUGUGAGGUAUGCUGGAGGUAUCAGAAGUGCGAAUGCUGACAUAAGUAACGAUAAAGCGGGUGAAAAGCCCGCUCGCCGGAAGACCAAGGGUUCCUGUCCAACGUUAAUCGGGGCAGGGUGAGUCGACCCCUAAGGCGAGGCCGAAAGGCGUAGUCGAUGGGAAACAGGUUAAUAUUCCUGUACUUGGUGUUACUGCGAAGGGGGGACGGAGAAGGCUAUGUUGGCCGGGCGACGGUUGUCCCGGUUUAAGCGUGUAGGCUGGUUUUCCAGGCAAAUCCGGAAAAUCAAGGCUGAGGCGUGAUGACGAGGCACUACGGUGCUGAAGCAACAAAUGCCCUGCUUCCAGGAAAAGCCUCUAAGCAUCAGGUAACAUCAAAUCGUACCCCAAACCGACACAGGUGGUCAGGUAGAGAAUACCAAGGCGCUUGAGAGAACUCGGGUGAAGGAACUAGGCAAAAUGGUGCCGUAACUUCGGGAGAAGGCACGCUGAUAUGUAGGUGAAGUCCCUCGCGGAUGGAGCUGAAAUCAGUCGAAGAUACCAGCUGGCUGCAACUGUUUAUUAAAAACACAGCACUGUGCAAACACGAAAGUGGACGUAUACGGUGUGACGCCUGCCCGGUGCCGGAAGGUUAAUUGAUGGGGUCAGCGCAAGCGAAGCUCUUGAUCGAAGCCCCGGUAAACGGCGGCCGUAACUAUAACGGUCCUAAGGUAGCGAAAUUCCUUGUCGGGUAAGUUCCGACCUGCACGAAUGGCGUAAUGAUGGCCAGGCUGUCUCCACCCGAGACUCAGUGAAAUUGAACUCGCUGUGAAGAUGCAGUGUACCCGCGGCAAGACGGAAAGACCCCGUGAACCUUUACUAUAGCUUGACACUGAACAUUGAGCCUUGAUGUGUAGGAUAGGUGGGAGGCUUUGAAGUGUGGACGCCAGUCUGCAUGGAGCCGACCUUGAAAUACCACCCUUUAAUGUUUGAUGUUCUAACGUUGACCCGUGAUCCGGGUUGCGGACAGUGUCUGGUGGGUAGUUUGACUGGGGCGGUCUCCUCCUAAAGAGUAACGGAGGAGCACGAAGGUUGGCUAAUCCUGGUCGGACAUCAGGAGGUUAGUGCAAUGGCAUAAGCCAGCUUGACUGCGAGCGUGACGGCGCGAGCAGGUGCGAAAGCAGGUCAUAGUGAUCCGGUGGUUCUGAAUGGAAGGGCCAUCGCUCAACGGAUAAAAGGUACUCCGGGGAUAACAGGCUGAUACCGCCCAAGAGUUCAUAUCGACGGCGGUGUUUGGCACCUCGAUGUCGGCUCAUCACAUCCUGGGGCUGAAGUAGGUCCCAAGGGUAUGGCUGUUCGCCAUUUAAAGUGGUACGCGAGCUGGGUUUAGAACGUCGUGAGACAGUUCGGUCCCUAUCUGCCGUGGGCGCUGGAGAACUGAGGGGGGCUGCUCCUAGUACGAGAGGACCGGAGUGGACGCAUCACUGGUGUUCGGGUUGUCAUGCCAAUGGCACUGCCCGGUAGCUAAAUGCGGAAGAGAUAAGUGCUGAAAGCAUCUAAGCACGAAACUUGCCCCGAGAUGAGUUCUCCCUGACUCCUUGA